This 483-nucleotide ribosomal RNA is filed under the name uncultured bacterium. Its description in RNAcentral is "bacterial SSU rRNA". It matches the Rfam family "Bacterial small subunit ribosomal RNA", at positions 1 to 531 of the family's 1533-position model. The record is from RNAcentral.
GCCCUUAGAGUUUGAUCCUGGCUCAGAACGAACGCUGGCGGCAGGCCUAACACAUGCAAGUCGAGCGCACCUUUCGGGGUGAGCGGCGGACGGGUUAGUAACGCGUGGGAAUAUAUCCUUUGGUACGGAAUAGCCUCUGGAAACGGAGAGUAAUACCGUAUGAGCCCUUCGGGGGAAAGAUUUAUCGCCAAAGGAUUAGCCCGCGUUAGAUUAGGUAGUUGGUGGGGUAAUGGCCUACCAAGCCUACGAUCUAUAGCUGGUUUUAGAGGAUGAUCAGCAACACUGGGACUGAGACACGGCCCAGACUCCUACGGGAGGCAGCAGUGGGGAAUCUUGGACAAUGGGCGCAAGCCUGAUCCAGCCAUGCCGCGUGAGCGAUGAAGGCCUUAGGGUCGUAAAGCUCUUUCGCCUGUGAAGAUAAUGACGGUAGCAGGUAAAGAAACCCCGGCUAACUCCGUGCCAGCAGCCGCGGUAAUAAGGGCG